UUGAUCCUGCCGGACCCGACUGCUAUCAGAGUGGGACUAAGCCAUACGAGUCAACGCAGCAAUGCGUGGCAUACGGCUCAGUAACACGUAGUCAACAUGCCCAGGGGACGUGGAUAACCUCGGGAAACUGAGGAUAAACCGCGAUAGGCCAAGGUUUCUGGAAUGGACACUGGCUGAAACCUAUAUGGCCCCUGGAUUGGACUGCGGCCGAUCAGGCUGUUGGUGAGGUAAUGGCCCACCAAACCUGUAACCGGUACGGGCUUUGAGAGAAGGAGCCCGGAGAUGGGCACUGAGACAAGGGCCCAGGCCCUAUGGGGCGCAGCAGGCGCGAAAAUUCUGCAAUAGGCGAAAGCUUGACAGAGUUACUCUGAGUGAUGCCCGCUAAGGGCAUCUUUUGGCACCUCUAAAAAUGGUGCAGAAUAAGGGGUGGGCAAGUCUGGUGUCAGCCGCCGCGGUAAUACCAGCACCCCGAGUGGUCGGGACGAUUAUUGGGCCUAAAGCAUCCGUAGCUUGUUCUGCAAGUCUUCCGUUAAAUCCACCUGCUCAACAGAUGGGCUGCGGGAGAUACUACAGGGCUAGGAGGCGGGAGAGGCGAGCGGUACUCAGUGGGUAGGGGUAAAAUCCUCUGAUCCACUGAAGACCACCAGUGGCGAAGGCGGCUUGCCAGAACGCGCUCGACGGUGAGGGAUGAGAGCUGGGGGAGCAAACCGGAUUAGAUACC
Molecule: ribosomal RNA, 721 nt
Filed under: uncultured Nitrososphaerota archaeon
Lineage: Archaea; Thermoproteati; Nitrososphaerota
Description: bacterial SSU rRNA
Rfam family: Archaeal small subunit ribosomal RNA
Source: RNAcentral